This 467-nucleotide ribosomal RNA is filed under the name uncultured bacterium. Its description in RNAcentral is "partial 16S ribosomal RNA". It matches the Rfam family "Bacterial small subunit ribosomal RNA", at positions 28 to 507 of the family's 1533-position model. The record is from RNAcentral.
GAUGAACGCUGGCGGCGCGCCUAACACAUGCAAGUCGAACGAUUAAAGCACCUUCGGGUGUGUAUAAAGUGGCGAACGGCUGAGUAACACGUGGGCAACCUGCCCCUUUCAUUGGGAUAGCCACGGGAAACCGUGGAUAAUACCGAAUACUUCGAGACUUCCGCAUGGAAGACUCGAGAAAGCUCCGGCGGAGAGGGAUGGGCCCGCGGCCUGUUAGCUUGUUGGUGGAGUAACGGCCUACCAAGGCAAUGAUGGGUAGCUGGGUUGAGAGACCGACCAGCCAGAUGGGGACUGAGACACGGCCCAGACGCCUACGGGAGGCAGCAGUGGGGAAUCUUGCACAAUGGGCGAAAGCCUGAUGCAGCGACGCCGCGUGCGGGAUGAAGGCCUUCGGGUUGUAAACCGCUUUCAGCAGGGACGAGGCGAAAGUGACGGUACCUGCAGAAGAAGCCCCGGCUAACUACGUG